AUUAGAAGGAGCAAUAUCCAUCUCUAUAUCCAUCCAACUCAAAUCAAGACAGCUCGAUUCGAAUAAAUUUUAACUUUGAUUUUGACUUUGAUCAGAUUCUCACGACUGCCAAUCUUCAUCGUUGGUAGUACUCCUUUGAUGAGUAUUCUGAAAUGAAUCGUGAUCAACGUUUAUCAGGUGAUGAUCAUCAAUUUCAGCCUCGAG
RNAcentral lists this unclassified non-coding RNA (204 nucleotides) under Hevea brasiliensis (rubber tree). The record is from RNAcentral. Lineage: Eukaryota; Viridiplantae; Streptophyta; Magnoliopsida; Malpighiales; Euphorbiaceae.